Long non-coding RNA from Pseudonaja textilis, 232 nucleotides. RefSeq lists it as uncharacterized. NCBI's taxonomy places the organism in Eukaryota, Metazoa, Chordata, Lepidosauria, Squamata, Elapidae. The record is from RefSeq and is a predicted model, not a curated record.
CCCUACCGUGCUUCCCAUGCAAGCACGCGCCUCGGAGGGCUCGCCAUAAGUAGCAAGAAGAUACCCACAUAACUGACCAGAAGACUAUCAUCUCUCCCUUUUCUGAUUCCACUUCAGAGUGCUGCUGCUGAGCAUGAAUUGGAGGUCUCUAGAAAAACAUAGAACAGGAAGGCAGUUCUGAAAAAGCAAGUGUGGCCAGAGUGGAAUGAAAUAACAAUGUUCCCGCCUUCAU